GUAUUACGCAGUAUGUAGAUCAAAAUUUAAUGCGAGAGAAUUAUGUAUAUCUGAAGCAUAGUUGAGAAAUUUGCAGAUGUAUAUCAAAUUCUAGAUUCUAGCAGAUAUUAUAGAGGAAGAAAAUACGCAUGAUUUUGCUACGAAAGCAAGUCAAUUGGAUUUCACAUAUUGGCGUGUGGUAUGAAUAUUUAACUUGUAUUCCUGAAAUCGAUUAAGCGAAGCCGAUACCCAGGGAUUUCGUCAAUUAUAAUGACAGACCAAGUGGCUGGAAAUACGCGUGAUGGAAAAUACUCGACAAGCCUAGCCAUGUUCACAGGCCGUGUCCAGAGUGCACAAUAGGCCGAAACGUCGUUCCAGUGAUUAACCGUGCACUAUGUCGCCAACGAAUUUGCGAAUCGAAUUUAUCGUAUUCGAAGAUACAACAAUGAAUCCUAUUUUACCACGACCACUAAUUCCAUCGAUUGCUCCAUUCUCGAUUGUUCGUCGAUCUUCGAUCUGUCUGUCUAUAUAAUGAUAUCUACAUUACAUUAUUACUCGUCGAUAUAGAGAGUACAGGAAGGCAUUGGCCUGAAUGGAGGUAAGUGCAGAUUUGAGGCUAAUCCAGGUGUAGAUUAGACUAAGCUUGAGCCGGUUUUAACUUGGAAGAUGGUGGAUAUGGAUUAACCUAGACCUCCUAGGUUACCUUGGAGAUGAAUAAGCUAUGGUUUGGAUCUGUGUGUUGCCCCGAGUAAUCGUGGUUGUAUUGAAUUCUUGUUCGGUCUACUGUAAACAUAGACAUUGUAAAUAUUAAAAUAAACCUACGUUUACGUUGACUUGAACUACUAAAACUGCAUGCCAAGAUUAGAUCUAAAAAGUUAAUCUAUUUAUUAAGUCUCUGAAAAU
Long non-coding RNA from Apis florea (little honeybee), 882 nucleotides. The record is from RefSeq and is a predicted model, not a curated record. Lineage: Eukaryota; Metazoa; Arthropoda; Insecta; Hymenoptera; Apidae.